CGUAACAAGGUCUCCGUAGGUGAACCUGCGGAGGGAUCAUUACACAAAUAUGAAGGCGGGCUGGAACCUCUCGGGGUUACAGCCUUGCUGAAUUAUUCACCCUUGUCUUUUGCGUACUUCUUGUUUCCUUGGUGGAUUCGCCCACCACUAGGACAAGCAUAAACCUUUUGUAAUUGCAAUCAGCGUCAGUAACAAAUUAAUAAUUACAACUUUCAACAACGGAUCUCUUGGUUCUGGCAUCGAUGAAGAACGCAGCGAAAUGCGAUAAGUAGUGUGAAUUGCAGAAUUCAGUGAAUCAUCGAAUCUUUGAACGCACAUUGCGCCCUUUGGUAUUCCAAAGGGCAUGCCUGUUCGAGCGUCAUUUGUACCCUCAAGCUUUGCUUGGUGUUGGGCGUCUUGUCUCUAGCUUUGCUGGAGACUCGCCUUAAAGUAAUUGGCAGCCGGCCUACUGGUUUCGGAGCGCAGCACAAGUCGCGCUCUCUAUCAGCAAAGGUCUAGCAUCCAUUAAGCCUUUUUUUCAACUUUUGACCUCGGAUCAGGUAGGGAUACCCGCUGAACUUAAGCAUAUCA
This 570-nucleotide ribosomal RNA is filed under the name uncultured fungus. RNAcentral's name for it is "eukaryotic LSU rRNA". The stretch from base 208 to 361 matches the Rfam family "5.8S ribosomal RNA". The record is from RNAcentral. Lineage: Eukaryota; Fungi.